RNAcentral lists this unclassified non-coding RNA (1842 nucleotides) under Hevea brasiliensis (rubber tree). The record is from RNAcentral. Lineage: Eukaryota; Viridiplantae; Streptophyta; Magnoliopsida; Malpighiales; Euphorbiaceae.
CUUUGAUUUCCAUGCAAUCCUCUUCGGAGCAGAAGAAAUCUAAUCAUGGGAUUGCUUUGAGUUUCAACCAAAAUACAGACAAUUUUACCCAUUUAAGGUUUCCAUAAAAUAUACAUAAAUAAUGUGAUUGCGGUGCUAUUCAGAUUAGCAUCAGUAUUAGAAAACCCAACCUAGAGCAGAUUUAGAUUCACGAAGAAAAAUAAAAUGAAAAAGUGUUAUUAGAGAAAAUUACCAAAGACAAAUCAGCAAAUCCUACAGUUCAAGUGGCUAAUCCUUUGUCAAAGGCCUUUAAAUGGACUACUGUGUAUAAUUUGCUCUGUUCUCCAGUAUGGUAAGCUCAGUAGUAAUUCUUUGUGCAAUUUAUCUUUAUAAUUAUCUUCCUAUGCAGUAAUUGCAGCAGAAAAAUUUGCCCAAUCAAGGGAAUGUUGAUAUUUCUGGUUGCAACUAACACAGCUGAAGACUGUCCCCACCAGCUGAUGAUCCUUGGGAGCAAAAGAUUUUCAAGGCAAUAAUUUUCCCCUGUUGUGAUUGUGAUAAUUGUAUAACCUGACUAGUUUGAAGAUGAAAAUCAAUCAAUUCCAUGAUUCUCCAACAACAGAACUGUAUCACCUGAAGUGCAAAAUAUGGACAAAUUCUUGUUCACACAACUCAAUUCCUGGCUCCAUAAGUAUUGUGAAAUCUGAAAAAGAGAUCCUUCCUUAAGAAGAAUACACGUCAUUCACAGCAAAUAUCAAAUCCUGACUGUUGAUUAGACACUGGUUCUGGUGAAACCCAAUACAUAUUACAGAAUGUCAGCAUAGGGAGCUUCAAACCAGGCACAUUGUUUGAGCUAUACAAAAUGUUUUCUGAUAGAAGGGAAAUGAGUUUAGCAUCCUCGUCAUGGCCACUAUCACGGCUAAACCAUCGCGUAUGGGUAAGUCUUUUUACUUCAGUUAUCUGUGAAAGCAUAUAGCAAGUUAGUAUCAAACACAACGAUACUGAAAAUGGACAGGUGGUUAGGAUUACCCAAAUUCACUUUAAAGUAAUACUAAUCAUCAAAAGUAAGGAAAAAAUUUCAUAACACUAAUCAUCAGAAGUAAGGAAAAAAUUGCAAGUCUUUUCCCUGUCUUCCCUAUAGAAAGUGGAAGAUGGGUGCCAUAAAACCACUUUACCUGUGCAUGUUCAUAAAUAUUCAUCCCAGUGUCAUUAGAUGGCUAAGGUUUUAUGCAACUAUCUUAUUUGAUUCUUAUCAAUUAUCAAGUUAAUUAAUAAUUAUCGAUUUCUAUCAUCAACUAGUUUCACCACCAUACAUUGCGGAGAACAUAAUGGGGGAGAAGAAAAGAAAUAACGAAUAAACCACAAAAUCCACAGUAGUGAAAGCAGAACUUCCAAUGAACUGAGCAUAAGCCAAGAAAAAUAAUUAGCAUCAAUUAAUCAUAAAAAAAAUGAUCCAGAAAUAAAUUCAAAGUACUGUAAUGGUUCAGGAGACAUAAGCUCCGGAAUACUAAAUUUACCCCGUCAACUGAAUGAACAUUGCUGCUGUCAGCUGUAUAUAUUGCACUAUCCUGAAAAAAAUACAGAUAAAGUUUUGAAUGAAAGUAAAUUAAAGAGAAUCACACCACUAGACAAAGAAUCCAUCAGUAGCAUCAUUUUAGUAAUUCAUUCUAAGUACCAAGUGAAAUCAGUUUAAGUUUCAGCUGAAUAUAUUGCAAUAUCCUGAAAAAAAUACAGAUAAAGUUUUGAAUGAAAGUAAAUUAAAGAGAAUCACACCACUAGACAAAGAAUCCAUCAGUAGCAUCAUUUUAGUAAUUCAUUCUAAGUACCAAGUGAAAUCAGUUUAAGUUUCAGCUGAAUAUAUUGCAA